RNAcentral lists this ribosomal RNA (250 nucleotides) under uncultured prokaryote. RNAcentral's name for it is "partial 16S ribosomal RNA". It matches the Rfam family "Bacterial small subunit ribosomal RNA", at positions 524 to 773 of the family's 1533-position model. The record is from RNAcentral.
UACGUAGGGGGCGAGCGUUGUCCGGAAUGACUGGGCGUAAAGGGUACGUAGGCGGUUACACAAGUUAAAAGUGAAAUCCCCGGGCUUAACUCGGGUGCUGCUUUUAAGACUGUGUGACUUGAGUGCAGUAGAGAAAAGUGGAAUUCCUAGUGUAGCGGUGGAAUGCGUAGAUAUUAGGAGGAACACCAGAGGCGAAGGCGGCUUUUUGGACUGUAACUGACGCUGAGGUACGAAAGUGUGGGGAGCAAAC